Molecule: ribosomal RNA, 468 nt
Filed under: uncultured bacterium
Lineage: Bacteria
Description: partial 16S ribosomal RNA
Rfam family: Bacterial small subunit ribosomal RNA
Source: RNAcentral
GGGGGGGGGGGGGGGCGGGCGUGACGCGUGGGAGUCGGGCGGGAAGGCCCUGCUUGUGGGGGGUGCUCGAGUGGCGAACGGGUGAGUAACACGUGAGUAACCUGCCCUUGACUUUGGGAUAACUUCAGGAAACUGGGGCUAAUACCGGGUAGGAGCUCCUGCUGCAUGGUGGGGGUUGGCAAGUUUGGGCGGUUGGGGAUGGACUCGCGGCUUAUCAGCUUGUUGGUGGGGUAGUGGCUUACCAAGGCUUUGACGGGUAGCCGGCCUGAGAGGGUGACCGGCAACAUUGGGACUGAGAUACGGCCCAGACUCCUACGGGAGGCAGCAGUGGGGAAUAUUGCACAAUGGGCGGAAGCCUGAUGCAGCAACGCCGCGUGCGGGAUGACGGCCUUCGGGUUGUAAACCGCUUUCGCCUGUGACGAAGCGUGAGUGACGGUAAUGGGUAAAGAAGCACCGGCUAACUACGUG